RNAcentral lists this ribosomal RNA (443 nucleotides) under uncultured bacterium. RNAcentral describes it as "partial 16S ribosomal RNA". It matches the Rfam family "Bacterial small subunit ribosomal RNA", at positions 338 to 795 of the family's 1533-position model. The record is from RNAcentral.
ACUACGGGAGGCAGCAGUGAGGAAUAUUGGUCAAUGGGCGCAAGCCUGACCCAGCAACGCCGCGUGAAGGAAGAAGGCUUUCGGGUUGUAAACUUCUUUUGUCAGGGACGAAGCAAGUGACGGUACCUGACGAAUAAGCCACGGCUAACUACGUGCCAGCAGCCGCGGUAAUACGUAGGUGGCAAGCUUUAUCCGGAUUUACUGGGUGUAAAGGGCGUGUAGGCGGGUAAGCAAGUCAGAUGUGAAAACCACGGGCUCAACCUGUAGCCUGCAUUUGAAACUGUUUUUCUUGAGUGCUGGAGAGGCAAUCGGAAUUCCGUGUGUAGCGGUGAAAUGCGUAGAUAUACGGAGGAACACCAGUGGCGAAGGCGGAUUGCUGGACAGUAACUGACGCUGAGGCGCGAAAGCGUGGGGAGCAAACAGGAUUAGAUACCCUUGUAGUC